This 494-nucleotide ribosomal RNA is filed under the name uncultured bacterium. RNAcentral describes it as "partial 16S ribosomal RNA". It matches the Rfam family "Bacterial small subunit ribosomal RNA", at positions 28 to 523 of the family's 1533-position model. The record is from RNAcentral.
GAUGAACGCUGGCGGCGUGCUUAACACAUGCAAGUCGAACGGGAAUUAUUUUAUUGAAACUUCGGUCGAUUUAAUUUAAUUCUAGUGGCGGACGGGUGAGUAACGCGUGGGUAACCUGCCUUAUACAGGGGGAUAACAGUCAGAAAUGACUGCUAAUACCGCAUAAGCGCACAGGACCGCAUGGUCCGGUGUGAAAAACUCCGGUGGUAUAAGAUGGACCCGCGUUGGAUUAGCUUGUUGGUGGGGUAACGGCCCACCAAGGCGACGAUCCAUAGCCAGGCUGAGGGGGUGAACGGCCACAUUGGGACUGAGACACGGCCCAGACUCCUACGGGAGGCAGCAGUGGGGAAUAUUGCACAAUGGGGGAAACCCUGAUGCAGCGACGCCGCGUGAAGGAAGAAGUAUCUCGGUAUGUAAACUUCUAUCAGCAGGGAAGAUAGUGACGGUACCUGACUAAGAAGCCCCGGCUAACUACGUGCCAGCCGCCGCGGUAA